GCAGCACGGAGCUUGCUCUGGUGGCGAGUGGCGAACGGGUGAGUAAUGCGUCGGAACGUAUCCAUAAUGGGGGAUAACGCAGCGAAAGCUGUGCUAAUACCGCAUACGCCCUCCGGGGGAAAGCAGGGGAUCUUAGGACCUUGCGUUAAUGGAGCGGCCGACGUCUGAUUAGCUAGUUGGUAGGGUAAAGGCCUACCAAGGCGACGAUCAGUAGCUGGUCUGAGAGGAUGAUCAGCCACACUGGGACUGAGACACGGCCCAGACUCCUACGGGAGGCAGCAGUGGGGAAUUUUGGACAAUGGGCGCAAGCCUGAUCCAGCCAUUCCGCGUGAGUGAAGAAGGCCUUCGGGUUGUAAAGCUCUUUCAGGAGGGAAGAAACGAUUGUGGCUAAUACCCAUGAUUAAUGACGGUACCUUCAGAAGAAGCACCGGCUAACUACGUGCCAGCAGCCGCGGUAAUACGUAGGGUGCGAGCGUUAAUCGGAAUUACUGGGCGUAAAGCGUGCGCAGGCGGUUUUUCAAGUCUGAUGUGAAAUCCCCGGGCUUAACCUGGGAACUGCGUUGGAAACUGAAAGACUAGAGUGCGGCAGAGGGGGGUAGAAUUCCACGUGUAGCAGUGAAAUGCGUAGAUAUGUGGAGGAAUACCGAUGGCGAAGGCAGCCCCCUGGGUCGACACUGACGCUCAUGCACGAAAGCGUGGGUAGCAAACAGGAUUAGAUACCCUGGUAGUCCACGCCCUAAACGAUGUCAACUAGUUGUUGGGGGAGGGAGACCUCCUUAGUAACGCAGCUAACGCGUGAAGUUGACCGCCUGGGGAGUACGGUCGCAAGAUUAAAACUCAAAGGAAUUGACGGGGGCCCGCACAAGCGGUGGAUUAUGUGGAUUANNUCGAUGCAACGCGAAAAACCUUACCUACCCUUGACAUGUACGGAACUUGCCNNAGAUGGCU
RNAcentral lists this ribosomal RNA (948 nucleotides) under uncultured bacterium. RNAcentral's name for it is "bacterial SSU rRNA". It matches the Rfam family "Bacterial small subunit ribosomal RNA", at positions 69 to 1011 of the family's 1533-position model. The record is from RNAcentral.